AAUUUUGGACAAUGGGGGAAACCCUGAUCCAGCCAUCCCGCGUGUAUGAUGAAGGCCUUCGGGUUGUAAACCUCUUUCAGUAGGGACGAAGCGCAAGUGACGGUACCUACAGAAGAAGCACCGGCCAACUACGUGCCAGCACCCGCGGUAAUACGUAGGGUGCGAGCGUUGUCCGGACUUAUUGGGCGUAAAGGGCUCGUAGGCGGUUUGUCGCGUCGGGAGUGAAAACUCAGGGCUUAACCCUGAGCCUGCUUCCGAUACGGGCAGACUAGAGGUAUGCAGGGGAGAACGGAAUUCCUGGUGUAGCGGUGAAAUGCGCAGAUAUCAGGAGGAACACCGGUGGCGAAGGCGGUUCUCUGGGCAUUACCUGACGCUGAGGAGCGAAAGUGUGGGGAGCGAAC
This 401-nucleotide ribosomal RNA is filed under the name uncultured bacterium. Its description in RNAcentral is "partial 16S ribosomal RNA". It matches the Rfam family "Bacterial small subunit ribosomal RNA", at positions 360 to 773 of the family's 1533-position model. The record is from RNAcentral.